GCUCAGGAUGAACGCUAGCUACAGGCUUAACACAUGCAAGUCGAGGGGCAGCAUGGUCUUAGCUUGCUAAGGCUGAUGGCGACCGGCGCACGGGUGAGUAACACGUAUCCAACCUGCCGUCUACUCUUGGCCAGCCUUCUGAAAGGAAGAUUAAUCCAGGAUGGGAUCAUGAGUUCACAUGUCCGCAUGAUUAAAGGUAUUUUCCGGUAGACGAUGGGGAUGCGUUCCAUUAGAUAGUAGGCGGGGUAACGGCCCACCUAGUCAACGAUGGAUAGGGGUUCUGAGAGGAAGGUCCCCCACAUUGGAACUGAGACACGGUCCAAACUCCUACGGGAGGCAGCAGUGAGGAAUAUUGGUCAAUGGGCGAUGGCCUGAACCAGCCAAGU
Molecule: ribosomal RNA, 386 nt
Filed under: uncultured Bacteroides sp.
Lineage: Bacteria; Pseudomonadati; Bacteroidota; Bacteroidia; Bacteroidales; Bacteroidaceae
Description: bacterial SSU rRNA
Rfam family: Bacterial small subunit ribosomal RNA
Source: RNAcentral